This 1426-nucleotide long non-coding RNA is filed under the name Homo sapiens (human). RNAcentral's name for it is "non-protein coding lnc-SLC12A7-1:14". Lineage: Eukaryota; Metazoa; Chordata; Mammalia; Primates; Hominidae. The record is from RNAcentral.
CUAACCCAUUCACACACUAACCCAUUCAUUCACACACUAACUCACCCACUCGUUCACACACCCACUCAUUCACACACUAGCCCACUCAUUCACACACCCAUUCACACACUAACUCACCCACUCAUUCACACACUAACUCCCCCACUCAUUCACAAACUCGCCCACUCGUUCACACACUAACUCACCCACUCAUUCACACACUAACCCAUUCAUUCACACAGUCACCCACUCAUUCACACACUAACUCACCCACUCGUUCACAACCCAUUCACACACUAACCCACCCAUUCAUGCACUAACCCACUCUUUCACACACCAACUCACCCACUCAUUCACACACCCACUCAUUCACACACUAACUCACCCACUCGUUCACACACCCAUUCACAAAAUCCCUCAUUCACACACUAACCCAUUCACACACUAACUCAGCCACUCGUUCACACACCCAUUCACACACUAACUCAUCGACUCAUUCACAUGCCCACUCAUUCACACAGUAACUCACCCACUCAUUCACAAACUUGCCCACUGCUUCACACACUAACUCGCCCACUCACACACUAACUUGCCCACUCGUUCACAAACUCACCCAUUCAUUCAUACACUAACCCACCCACUUAUUCACACACUAACUCAUUCACACAACCCAACUUAUUCACACACUAACCCACUCAUUCACACACUAACCCACCCACUCAUUCACAAACUAACCCAUUCAUUCACAAACUCACCCACUCGUUCACACACCCACUCAUUCACACACCUACUCAUUCACACACUAACUCGCCCACUCAUUCAUACAGUAACUCGCCCACUCAUUCACACUAACUCGCCCACUCGUUCACACACUAACUUGCCCACUCGUUCACACACUAACUUGCCCACUCGUUCACAAACUCACCCAUUCACACACUCACUCAUUCAUACACUAACCCACCCACUUAUUCACACACUCAUUCACACAACCCAACUUAUUCACACACUAACCCACUCAUUCACACACUAACCCACCCAUUCACAAACCCAUUCAUUCACAAACUCACCCACUCAUUCACACACCCACACACUCACCUACUCAUUCACACACUAACUCGCCCACUCAUUCACACACUAACUUGCCCACUCUUUCACUAACCCACUCAUUCACACACUCAUUCACACACUAACCCGUUCAUACACUCACCUAUUCAUUCACACACUAACCUGCCCACUCAUUCACAAACUCAUUUACACACCCACUCAUUCACACUAACCCACUCAUUCACACACUACCUCACCCAUUCACACUAACCCACUCGUUCACACACCCAUUCACACUCACCCACUCAUUUGCACACUAACUCACCCACUCAUUCACACUAACCCACUCACUGAUUCAUUCACACACUAACUCAUUCACACACUAACUCACCCAUUCACACAC